UCGGGAAUUUUGGGCAAUGGGGGAAACCCUGACCCAGCAACGCCGCGUGAAGGAUGAAGUAUUUCGGUAUGUAAACUUCGAAAGAAUAGGAAGAAUAAAUGACGGUACUAUUUAUAAGGUCCGGCUAACUACGUGCCAGCAGCCGCGGUAAUACGUAGGGACCAAGCGUUGUUCGGAUUUACUGGGCGUAAAGGGCGCGUAGGCGGCAUGACAAGUCACUUGUGAAAUCUCUGGGCUUAACCCAGAACGGCCAAGUGAUACUGUCGCGCUAGAGUGCAGAAGGGGCAAUCGGAAUUCUUGGUGUAGCGGUGAAAUGCGUAGAUAUCAAGAGGAACACCUGAGGUGAAGACGGGUUGCUGGGCUGACACUGACGCUGAGGCGCGAAAGCCAGGGGAGCAAACGGGAUUAGAUACCCCCGUAGUCCCUGAGCGGGCUGGCAAG
Molecule: ribosomal RNA, 441 nt
Filed under: uncultured bacterium
Lineage: Bacteria
Description: bacterial SSU rRNA
Rfam family: Bacterial small subunit ribosomal RNA
Source: RNAcentral